GUCCUUGGUAAGCGACGCUCAGCUCUUCGUCAGUCACUGUGGUACUGUGGUCGGAAACUCUUGGCCAUACCGAAGUCGACCGGCGGACAGCGUAGUUAGAUUAUACUUAUGGUAGUUGGAUCAUCGGUGUUGGUAAAAUUUGAUGGUUAUUCAAACUGGUCAACUGGUUCUGCUGCUUCGACGAGGGUAUCCUGACUGAGAAUGUUUCCCCCGCGUCAGUAUCCGAGAAGAUAGGUAAAUAGAGAAGACAGAAGCAAACGAUUCUUGGUUGGAUGCUGUUCUUGUAGGAGAUUGUUCCUUGGACUGGUAGAAAGAAAUGCAUUAAUCCUCUGGCAGAAAACAGAUGGUCAUAUUGUUCUUUUAUUAAUAUGCUGUUAUGGAUUUCCUGCCCGAAAAUUCUUAGAUUAAUAAUGAUCUCUAUAUUCA
Long non-coding RNA from Macrobrachium nipponense, 426 nucleotides. RefSeq lists it as uncharacterized. NCBI's taxonomy places the organism in Eukaryota, Metazoa, Arthropoda, Malacostraca, Decapoda, Palaemonidae. The transcript has 3 exons. The record is from RefSeq and is a predicted model, not a curated record.